GGACUACCUCCCUCACCCACUCCUUUUGGAGAGCAUUGGUGGCCCAGUCACAUAUUUAAGCAACAUCACCAGGCCAGGAUUUGUGGCACACAAUAAACAUUUAUUACAAGAAUGAAUGAAGGCACACAAAUCUCAAGAACUGGAGCACAGAAUAAAUAGGCAUCUACGCCUGGAGAACACAGAUUUUUCUCCCAGCGCCCCUCCGAGGACCUCCCAUAGCAAAUGGAAGGAUCAGCCUCCUUCAGGAGACCAGAGACCUGCAGACCAGAACCAAGAGGCAAUUGAGUCAAAAUUGGUGGGUUCAGUUCCAAGAAUAGCGCCAAUAUUUUAAUGUAUAUUUCCUACAAAAGACUUUCUCUGACAUACAAUACAAUAUUAAAUCAGGACAUUAACCCAUAUAUGUUACUAUCAUCUAAUCCCCACAC
Molecule: non-coding RNA, 425 nt
Organism: Microcebus murinus (gray mouse lemur)
Lineage: Eukaryota; Metazoa; Chordata; Mammalia; Primates; Cheirogaleidae
Source: RefSeq, a predicted model, not a curated record